Molecule: ribosomal RNA, 492 nt
Filed under: uncultured bacterium
Lineage: Bacteria
Description: partial 16S ribosomal RNA
Rfam family: Bacterial small subunit ribosomal RNA
Source: RNAcentral
AGUGAACGCUGGCGGUAGGCCUAACACAUGCAAGUCGAACGGCAGCACAGUAAGAGCUUGCUCUUACGGGUGGCGAGUGGCGGACGGGUGAGGAAUACAUCGGAAUCUACUUUUUCGUGGGGGGUAACGUAGGGAAACUUACGCUAAUACCGCAUACGACCUACGGGUGAAAGCAGGGGAUCUUCGGACCUUGCGCGAUUGAAUGAGCCGAUGUCGGAUUAGCUAGUUGGCGGGGUAAAGGCCCACCAAGGCGACGAUCCGUAGCUGGUCUGAGAGGAUGAUAAGCCACACUGGAACUGAGACACGGUCCAGACUCCUACGGGAGGCAGCAGUGGGGAAUAUUGGACAAUGGGCGCAAGCCUGAUCCAGCCAGACCGCGUGGGUGAAGAAGGCCUUCGGGUUGUAAAGCCCUUUUGUUGGGAAAGAAAAGCAGCAGGUUAAUACCCCGCUGUUCUGACGGUACCCAAAGAAUAAGCACCGGCUAACUUCGUG